This 276-nucleotide unclassified non-coding RNA is filed under the name Hevea brasiliensis (rubber tree). Lineage: Eukaryota; Viridiplantae; Streptophyta; Magnoliopsida; Malpighiales; Euphorbiaceae. The record is from RNAcentral.
GGACUCCAUCACCGGCGGCCACGGCGGCGCUCCAGCCAUCAACACCGGCGGUGGGGUGCCGGCGAGAUCAGACAGCCUACCGGGGAGUGAGGAAGCGGCGGUGGGGGAAAUGGGUGUCGGAGAUACGCGAGCCAAGGAAGAAGUCGAGGAUCUGGCUCGGUUCUUUCCCAACGCCGGAGAUGGCGGCGCGGGCCCACGACGCGGCGGCGCGGUGUCUGAAGGGUGCAAAUGCGGUGCUCAACUUCCCCGACGAGGCCCACCUCCUCCCAUUUCCCG